RNAcentral lists this ribosomal RNA (460 nucleotides) under uncultured bacterium. RNAcentral describes it as "bacterial SSU rRNA". It matches the Rfam family "Bacterial small subunit ribosomal RNA", at positions 339 to 797 of the family's 1533-position model. The record is from RNAcentral.
CUACGGGAGGCAGCAGUGGGGAAUAUUGGACAAUGGGUGUAAGCCUGAUCCAGCCAUGCCGCGUGCAGGAAGAAGGCCUUCUGGGUUGUAAACUGCUUUUGCCGGGGGAUAAAAAGGCCAUGCGUGGCAGAUUGAAGGUACCCGGUGAAUAAGCCACGGCUAACUACGUGCCAGCAGCCGCGGUAAUACGUAGGUGGCAAGCGUUGUCCGGAUUUAUUGGGUUUAAAGGGUGCGUAGGCGGUCCUGUAAGUCAGUGGUGAAAUACGGCAGCUCAACUGUCGAGGUGCCAUUGAUACUGCGGGACUUGAGUACAGACGAGGUAGGCGGAAUUGACGGUGUAGCGGUGAAAUGCAUAGAUAUCGUCAAGAACACCGAUAGCGAAGGCAGCUUACUAGAUUGUAACUGACGCUGAUGCACGAAAGUGCGGGGAUCAAACAGGAUUAGAUACCCCGGUAGUCCC